ACGGAAGGCAGCAGUGGGGAAUAUUGCACAAUGGGGGAAACCCUGAUGCAGCGACGCCGCGUGAGUGAAGAAGUAUUUCGGUAUGUAAAGCUCUAUCAGCAGGGAAGAAAAUGACGGUACCUGACUAAGAAGCCCCGGCUAACUACGUGCCAGCAGCCGCGGUAAUACGUAGGGGGCAAGCGUUAUCCGGAUUUACUGGGUGUAAAGGGAGCGUAGACGGUUCUGCAAGUCUGAUGUGAAAGGCAGGGGCUCAACUCCUGGACUGCAUUGGAAACUGUAGAACUAGAGUGCCGGAGAGGUAAGCGGAAUUCCUAGUGUAGCGGUGAAAUGCGCAGAUAUUAGGAGGAACACCAGUGGCGAAGGCGGCUUACUGGACGGUAACUGACGUUGAGGCUCGAAAGCGUGGGGAGCAAACAGGAUUAGAUACCCUGGUA
Molecule: ribosomal RNA, 434 nt
Filed under: uncultured Clostridium sp.
Lineage: Bacteria; Bacillati; Bacillota; Clostridia; Eubacteriales; Clostridiaceae
Also listed under: 1 other name
Description: partial 16S ribosomal RNA
Rfam family: Bacterial small subunit ribosomal RNA
Source: RNAcentral